AACGAACGCUGGCGGCAUGCCUAACACAUGCAAGUCGAACGAGACCUUCGGGUCUAGUGGCGCACGGGUGCGUAACGCGUGGGAACCUGCCCUUAGGUUCGGAAUAACUCCCCGAAAGGGGUGCUAAUACCGGAUCAUGUCUUCGGACCAAAGAUUUAUCGCCUUUGGAUGGGCCCGCGUUGGAUUAGCUAGUUGGUAGGGUAAAAGCCUACCAAGGCGACGAUCCAUAGCUGGUCUGAGAGGAUGAUCAGCCACACUGGGACUGAGACACGGCCCAGACUCAUACGGGAGGCAGCAGUGGGGAAUAUUGGACAAGGGGCGAAAGCCUGAUCCAGCAAUGCCGCGUGAGUGAUGAAGGCCUUAGGGUUGUAAAGCUCUUUUACCCGGGAUGAUAAUGACAGUACCGGGAGAAUAAGCGCCGGCUAACUCCGUG
This 433-nucleotide ribosomal RNA is filed under the name uncultured bacterium. Its description in RNAcentral is "partial 16S ribosomal RNA". It matches the Rfam family "Bacterial small subunit ribosomal RNA", at positions 29 to 507 of the family's 1533-position model. The record is from RNAcentral.